GUAGUAUUCCCUACGUCCCAAAAUUCUUGUCUUACAUUUGUUUAGAUAUGGAUGUAUCUAACACUAAAAUGUAACUAGAUACAUCCAUAUUUAGACAAAUUUAAGACAAGAAUUUUGGGACAGAGGGAGUACAAA
Triticum aestivum (bread wheat) is the source of this 135-nucleotide non-coding RNA. The record is from Rfam. NCBI's taxonomy places the organism in Eukaryota, Viridiplantae, Streptophyta, Magnoliopsida, Poales, Poaceae.